ACGGGUGAGUAACGCGUGGGAAUCUACCCAUCUCUACGGAAUAACGCAUGGAAACGUGUGCUAAUACCGUAUACGUCCUUCGGGAGAAAGAUUUAUCGGAGAUGGAUGAGCCCGCGUUGGAUUAGCUAGUUGGUGGGGUAAAGGCCUACCAAGGCGACGAUCCAUAGCUGGUCUGAGAGGAUGAUCAGCCACACUGGGACUGAGACACGGCCCAGACUCCUACGGGAGGCAGCAGUGGGGAAUACUGGACAAUGGGCGCAAGCCUGAUCCAGCCAUGCCGCGUGAGUGAUGAAGGCCCUAGGGUUGUAAAGCUCUUUCACCGGUGAAGAUAAUGACGGUAACCGGAGAAGAAGCCCCGGCUAACUUCGUGCCAGCAGCCGCGGUAAUACGAAGGGGGCUAGCGUUGUUCGGAUUUACUGGGCGUAAAGCGCACGUAGGCGGACUAUUAAGUCAGGGGUGAAAUCCCGGGGCUCAACCCCGGAACUGCCUUUGAUACUGGUAGUCUUGAGUUCGAGAGAGGUGAGUGGAAUUCCGAGUGUAGAGGUGAAAUUCGUAGA
This 557-nucleotide ribosomal RNA is filed under the name uncultured bacterium. Its description in RNAcentral is "bacterial SSU rRNA". It matches the Rfam family "Bacterial small subunit ribosomal RNA", at positions 102 to 694 of the family's 1533-position model. The record is from RNAcentral.